RNAcentral lists this ribosomal RNA (253 nucleotides) under uncultured bacterium. RNAcentral's name for it is "partial 16S ribosomal RNA". It matches the Rfam family "Bacterial small subunit ribosomal RNA", at positions 524 to 776 of the family's 1533-position model. The record is from RNAcentral.
UACGGAGGGUGCGAGCGUUGUCCGGAAUCACUGGGCGUAAAGGGCGCGUAGGCGGCCUGGCAAGUCGAUGGUGAAAGCCCGAGGCUCAACUUCGGGUCGGCCACUGAUACUGCUGGGCUUGAGUCGACUAGAGGCAGAUGGAAUUCCGGGUGUAGCGGUGGAAUGCGUAGAGAUCCGGAAGAACACCGGUGGCGAAGGCGGUCUGCUGGGGUCGAACUGACGCUAAGGCGCGACAGCGUGGGGAGCAAACAGG